RNAcentral lists this ribosomal RNA (253 nucleotides) under uncultured bacterium. Its description in RNAcentral is "partial 16S ribosomal RNA". It matches the Rfam family "Bacterial small subunit ribosomal RNA", at positions 524 to 776 of the family's 1533-position model. The record is from RNAcentral.
UACGUAGGGGGCAAGUGUUAUCCGGAUUUACUGGGUGUAAAGGGAGCGUAGACGGCGACGCAAGUCUGAAGUGAAAUACCCGGGCUCAACCUGGGAACUGCUUUGGAAACUGUGUUGCUGGAGUGCUGGAGAGGUAAGCGGAAUUCCUAGUGUAGCGGUGAAAUGCGUAGAUAUUAGGAAGAACACCAGUGGCGAAGGCGGCUUACUGGACAGUAACUGACGUUGAGGCUCGUAAGCGUGGGGAGCAAACAGG